UUUUAAAACCCUAAAAUGGCUGGAGUCAUAUUCUAACUCAUUCCUAUCAACAUUCCUCUCAAUUUUAAUCCUUGGCUGAUUUGGGUUGAUUGAUUUCUGGGUUUUAUUGUUCUUAGUCUAAUCAAGAGACCCGUCGACUGCUCGUGCUUCGGAGUCUACGCAGGGUUAGCUGUUUGCCAAGAUUUACGUGGAUAAGCAAGCAGUUUAUGAUUUGAAAGCUGGUCCACUCCGAUUCUUUUGAUUCUUCGGAGGUUUUUAUGUUAUUUAACUAGUUACUGUUUUCGAACUCUUAGACCGCAGUAGAACUAGUUUAUUUAUUACAUCUGAUAUUACACUUUGGAAUUGUCGAUAUAUUCGAUUAUUUAUAUUUGGCAUGAUUACUCCGGAUUACGAUAUUGUUAUAUAUAAGGCAUGUUGUUGAACA
Long non-coding RNA from Mercurialis annua (annual mercury), 424 nucleotides. RefSeq lists it as uncharacterized. NCBI's taxonomy places the organism in Eukaryota, Viridiplantae, Streptophyta, Magnoliopsida, Malpighiales, Euphorbiaceae. The record is from RefSeq and is a predicted model, not a curated record. The transcript has 4 exons.